GAUGAAGAACGCAGCGAAAGGCGAUACGUAAUGUGAAUUUCAAAUUCAGUGAAUCAUCGAGUCUUUGAACGCACAUUGCGCCCCCUGGUAUUCCGGGGGGCAUGCCUGUCCGAGCGUCAUUGCUACCCUCAAGCACGGCUUGUGUGUUGGGCCCCGUCCUCCGAUCCCGGGGGACGGGCCCGAAAGGCAGCGGCGGCACCGCGUCCGGUCCUCGAGCGUAUGGGGCUUUGUCACCCGCUCUGUAGGCCCGGCCGGCGCUUGCCGAUCAACCCAAAUUUUUAUCCAGGUUGACCUCGGAUCAGGUAGGGAUACCCGCUGAACUUAAGCAUAUCAAUAAGCGGAGGA
RNAcentral lists this unclassified non-coding RNA (345 nucleotides) under soil metagenome. Its description in RNAcentral is "partial contains 5.8S ribosomal RNA, internal transcribed spacer 2, and large subunit ribosomal RNA". The stretch from base 1 to 119 matches the Rfam family "5.8S ribosomal RNA", at positions 35 to 154 of the family's 154-position model. The record is from RNAcentral.